CAGUCGCCACGGUAAUACGGAGGGUGCAAGCGUUAAUCGGAAUUACUGGGCGUAAAGCGCACGCAGGCGGUCUGACAAGUCAGACGUGAAAUCCCCGGGCUUAACCUGGGAACUGCAUUUGAAACUGUCAGGCUGGAGUCUUGUAGAGGGGGGUGGAAUUCCAGGUGUAGCGGUGAAAUGCGUAGAGAUCUGGAGGAAUACCGGUGGCGAAGGCGGCCCCCUGGACAAAGACUGACGCUCAGGUGCGAAAGCGUGGGGAGCAAACAGGAUUAGAUACCCGGGUAGUCCCUGUCUCUUAUAC
This 301-nucleotide ribosomal RNA is filed under the name uncultured bacterium. RNAcentral describes it as "partial 16S ribosomal RNA". It matches the Rfam family "Bacterial small subunit ribosomal RNA", at positions 509 to 807 of the family's 1533-position model. The record is from RNAcentral.